UUUAUCUUGGUGUAAGGCACGUAAAAUUUUGAUUUUUAAGGGGGUAUAAACUAGAUAAAU
This 60-nucleotide transfer RNA is filed under the name Hyalella armata. Its description in RNAcentral is "tRNA-Gln". The record is from RNAcentral. Lineage: Eukaryota; Metazoa; Arthropoda; Malacostraca; Amphipoda; Hyalellidae.